UCAUAAUUAUAUAGCUCUCAGAACACAGUAUAAAUCUAAAUCACAUGUGAUAGAUAAAGUAUGAGUAUGAUAGUUGUAAGACCCUAAUUUUGACCCUAAGAUCCCUCAUGGCAUCAUAUCAUUGCACAUUGCAUUUGCCUCAAGGAUCAUAUCAUCUUGGCUCCUCAACCCUAGGGUUGGGACUGGUGUGAGUUGGUUUGAGACCACCAAGCAUGCUUGAAU
This 222-nucleotide long non-coding RNA is filed under the name Lathyrus oleraceus (garden pea). RNAcentral describes it as "Pisum sativum (pea) long non-coding RNA (PSAT_LNC031580)". The record is from RNAcentral. Lineage: Eukaryota; Viridiplantae; Streptophyta; Magnoliopsida; Fabales; Fabaceae.